GCCACCUUAGCUCAGUUGGUAGAGCAGCUCCCUCGUAAAGAGCAGGUCAGGAGUUCAAUUCUCCUAGGUGGCU
This 73-nucleotide transfer RNA is filed under the name Actinomycetota bacterium. Its description in RNAcentral is "Actinobacteria bacterium tRNA-Thr". It matches the Rfam family "tRNA". From Rfam's summary of the family: Transfer RNA (tRNA) molecules are approximately 80 nucleotides in length. Their secondary structure includes four short double-helical elements and three loops (D, anti-codon, and T loops). Lineage: Bacteria; Bacillati; Actinomycetota. The record is from RNAcentral.